CAACUACUUCGUAUGAGAGGUUUAAUGUUGCAUUCAAAAUAAAUGAAUGAGAACAUUGUAUAAAAUGAACUCAGCAAACCUAUGUUUUAUUUCUCGGCUAUUUUAUGGCUACGAAAUAAUGGAAAUGGGCUGGCUACUCCCCUCAAUCUUGUGCUCCAUUCUCAGCCUUCCAAAUCAUACUUUAUGAAAUAAAGUAGUGGUCCAGGCACUCAAGUUAAUAGCAAAACAGCAG
Molecule: non-coding RNA, 232 nt
Organism: Pelobates cultripes (western spadefoot toad)
Lineage: Eukaryota; Metazoa; Chordata; Amphibia; Anura; Pelobatidae
Source: the annotation of a GenBank genome assembly